GGCCUCCGUCUUCUUCCCGUGGCUUCUGGAGUCUUCUAGAUGGUGGAAAAUCGUGCGGUGUGUUGAUAUCUCUAUGUAAUCCCGACAUGUGGGCCUUUCUUCCUUAUUUCCUGAUAACCCCCUGCAGAAAUAGAUAAACAACAAAACUCGUGGAAUUCUGUCAGAUCAAACCCUAAUUCUAGGUGUUAGUUGCAUAUUGGUCCUUUCUCUUGUUUAUUUGAUAAUUAAAAUUGAUACUUA
This 240-nucleotide long non-coding RNA is filed under the name Sorghum bicolor (sorghum). RNAcentral's name for it is "long non-coding RNA (SBIC_LNC005263)". The record is from RNAcentral. Lineage: Eukaryota; Viridiplantae; Streptophyta; Magnoliopsida; Poales; Poaceae.